UACGUAGGUGGCAAGCGUUGUCCGGAAUUAUUGGGCGUAAAGCGCGCGCAGGCGGUCCUUUAAGUCUGAUGUGAAAGCCCUCGGCUCAACCGUGGAGGGUCAUUGGAAACUGGGGGACUUGAGUACAGAAGAGAAGAGUGGAAUUCCACGUGUAGCGGUGAAAUGCGUAGAGAUGUGGAGGAACACCAGUGGCGAAGGCGACUCUUUGGUCUGUAACUGACGCUGAGGCGCGAAAGCGUGGGGAGCAAACAGG
This 253-nucleotide ribosomal RNA is filed under the name uncultured bacterium. RNAcentral describes it as "partial 16S ribosomal RNA". It matches the Rfam family "Bacterial small subunit ribosomal RNA", at positions 524 to 776 of the family's 1533-position model. The record is from RNAcentral.